RNAcentral lists this ribosomal RNA (169 nucleotides) under uncultured bacterium. Its description in RNAcentral is "partial 16S ribosomal RNA". It matches the Rfam family "Bacterial small subunit ribosomal RNA", at positions 338 to 524 of the family's 1533-position model. The record is from RNAcentral.
CCUACGGGAGGCAGCAGUGGGGAAUCUUAGACAAUGGGCGCAAGCCUGAUCUAGCCAUGCCGCGUGAGCGAUGAAGGCCUUAGGGUUGUAAAGCUCUUUCAGUGGGGAAGAUAAUGACUGUACCCACAGAAGAAGCCCCGGCUAACUUCGUGCCAGCAGCCGCGGUAAU